RNAcentral lists this ribosomal RNA (404 nucleotides) under uncultured soil bacterium. Its description in RNAcentral is "bacterial SSU rRNA". It matches the Rfam family "Bacterial small subunit ribosomal RNA", at positions 26 to 432 of the family's 1533-position model. The record is from RNAcentral.
AGAUUGAACGCUAGCGGGAUGCUUUACACAUGCAAGUCGAACGGCAGCGCGGACUUCGGUCUGGCGGCGAGUGGCGAACGGGUGAGUAAUAUAUCGGAACGUGCCCAGUAGCGGGGGAUAACUACGCGAAAGCGUGGCUAAUACCGCAUACGCCCUACGGGGGAAAGGGGGGAUCGCAAGACCCCUCACUAUUGGAGCGGCCGAUAUCAGAUUAGCUAGUGGUGAGGUAAAGGCUCACAAGGCGACGAUCUGUAGCUGGUUUGAGAGGACGACCAGCCACACCUGGGACUGAGACACGGCCCCAGACUCCGUACGGGAGGCAGCAGUGGGGUAAUUUGGACAAGUGGGGGGAAACCCUGGAUCCAGCCAUCCCGCGUGUGCGAUGAAGGCUUCGGUGUAAGCUA